Molecule: ribosomal RNA, 429 nt
Filed under: Chloroflexota bacterium
Lineage: Bacteria; Bacillati; Chloroflexota
Description: Chloroflexi bacterium partial 16S ribosomal RNA
Rfam family: Bacterial small subunit ribosomal RNA
Source: RNAcentral
UAGGGAAUCUUCGGCAAUGGACGAAAGUCUGACCGAGCAACGCCGCGUGAGUGAAGAAGGUUUUCGGAUCGUAAAACUCUGUUGUUAGAGAAGAACAAGGACGUUAGUAACUGAACGUCCCCUGACGGUAUCUAACCAGAAAGCCACGGCUAACUACGUGCCAGCAGCCGCGGUAAUACGUAGGUGGCAAGCGUUGUCCGGAUUUAUUGGGCGUAAAGCGAGCGCAGGCGGUUUCUUAAGUCUGAUGUGAAAGCCCCCGGCUCAACCGGGGAGGGUCAUUGGAAACUGGGAGACUUGAGUGCAGAAGAGGAGAGGGGAAUUCCAUGUGUAGCGGUGAAAUGCGUAGAUAUAUGGAGGAAAACCAGUGGCGAAGGCGGCUCUCUGGUCUGUAACUGACGCUGAGGCUCGAAAGCGUGGGGAGCAAACAGG